RNAcentral lists this ribosomal RNA (497 nucleotides) under uncultured bacterium. Its description in RNAcentral is "partial 16S ribosomal RNA". It matches the Rfam family "Bacterial small subunit ribosomal RNA", at positions 28 to 507 of the family's 1533-position model. The record is from RNAcentral.
GAUGAACGCUGGCGGCGUGCCUAAUACAUGCCAGUCGAGCGAACAGAUAAGGAGCUUGCUCCUUUGACGUUAGCGGCGGACGGGUGAGUAACACGUGGGUAACCUACCUAUAAGACUGGGAUAACUUCGGGAAACCGGAGCUAAUACCGGAUAACAUUUGGAACCGCAUGGUUCUAAAGUGAAAGAUGGUUUUGCUAUCACUUAUAGAUGGACCCGCGCCGUAUUAGCUAGUUGGUAAGGUAACGGCUUACCAAGGCGACGAUACGUAGCCGACCUGAGAGGGUGAUCGGCCACACUGGAACUGAGACACGGUCCAGACUCCUACGGGAGGCAGCAGUAGGGAAUCUUCCGCAAUGGGCGAAAGCCUGACGGAGCAACGCCGCGUGAGUGAUGAAGGGUUUCGGCUCGUAAAACUCUGUUAUUAGGGAAGAACAAAUGUGUAAGUAACUGUGCACGUCCUGACGGUACCUAAUCAGAAAGCCACGGCUAACUACGUG